Molecule: non-coding RNA, 554 nt
Organism: Nicotiana tabacum (common tobacco)
Lineage: Eukaryota; Viridiplantae; Streptophyta; Magnoliopsida; Solanales; Solanaceae
Source: RefSeq, a predicted model, not a curated record
AAAAAAUUCCCGCUAAAUUGAGUGUGUUAGAUUACAAUCCAUGCAACAAAUUAAUAAAAGUGGAUUACAAAAAAUCUAAUUAAGUCAAAUCAAAGACUUCAAGCUAUGGCAAAGGAGGAGGAAGAUAACGAUGACGAUUUUGGGAUUUAUCUAAAUUGAAUUAAUGAGUCACCAAGUUUUUUGUAAUCACGGAAUCCACUUAGGAUUGAAUUUAAGGUAAAACAAUUAAUCUUAAGGCUGGUUAAUUCUCUCAUAUUCAAUCCUAAGCGGAUUUCCGUGAUAAAUAACUUGGUGACUUAAUAAUUUAAUUUAGAUUUUGAAAGAAGUGCGUUGAUCUAUAAUUGAUAAACUUCUAUGAGCAACAUCUGUCGUAUUAUUAUUCCUCUUAAUGGCUUGGCUGUAAUAUUAAUGUAGGGAAAAUAGAACUAGCUCGAUUACUUUUUUGCCCUUUGUUUUUAUGUAGUUGUUAGCCUAUUAUAAAAAAUCUUGUCACAGGGCAGCUAAUUUUGUCAAAGACGAUGAUUUUAUGUUAAAUGUCGAUGUAUUAUAUACAA